RNAcentral lists this long non-coding RNA (2382 nucleotides) under Homo sapiens (human). RNAcentral describes it as "HSALNT0076754". The record is from RNAcentral. Lineage: Eukaryota; Metazoa; Chordata; Mammalia; Primates; Hominidae.
AGCCUAUUUUCACACUGCUAUAAAGAAAUACCCAAGACUGGGUAAUUUAUAAAGGAAAGAGGUUUAAUUGACUCACAGUUCUGCAUGGCUGGGGAGGCCUCAGGAAACUUACAAUCAUGGCAGAAGGUGUAGGGAAAGCAAGGCAUGUCUUACAUGGCAGCAGGAGAGAACAGAGCGGUGGGGAUCUGCCAAACACUUUUUAAAACCACCAGAUCUCAUAAGACUUCAUUCACUAUCACAAGCACAGCAUGGGGUAAACUGCCCCCAUAAUCCAAUCACCUCCCACCAGGUCCCUCCCUUGUCACGUGGGGAUUACAAUUCAAGAUGAGAUUUGGGUGGGGACACAGAAACAAACCUUAUCUCUGCAAGUGUCUCCUUAAAUUUUGCACCUUAGGCAAUAUACUUGCUUCAUCCUAGUCUUUGCUCUGGUCCCCAGCAUUCACUCUCCUCUUCCAUUUUUUAGCAGUAGAAUAUUUUCAAGUUUUAGUUUGGAGACCACAUUUCUAACUUUACUUUCAGAUCUGUGUAUGUGUGUCUAGCAUUCAGCAAACGGGAAAUGAACAGAAAUAUUAUAUUCAACUUCUAGAUGGCAGCAUCUUUUAAAAGAAUUAAGCUGCUUAUCCACUAAGCUCUGUAUCCUCGUUUCAUGUGAGCCGUCUGUAGUUAUCUGGCUAGUCGACAGUCCCUAAGGGAUAACAGUACAAUGAAACAAAAGGGACCACGUGGUCUUUGAAUGACAUUGUGGGACAGAUUAUCUGCCUUGAACUAUAAUGUGGAGUGUUACAUGAGAGAUAAAUAAAUUUAUAUUUAUUUUUGAUCCACUGUAUUUUGGAGUGUUCGUUGCUUUAAAACACAAAGUCAAUCAGUCUUCUGGGUUUUUAAUCUUAAGCUCAGUGAAACCAAGACAGAAAAAGCAGUUGGAGCUAAUUCCAGUAGCAGCAUAUUGACAAGAGAUUUUAGGGAUUUCUGUAGCCUGGACGAUCUACACUAGAGCUAUAUUUUAACUCCUGUUCAAUCUUGAACCUGUUUUAGAAAUGUUUCAUUAAUUUUGUGACUUCUCUGUUAUCUUUUCUACAAAUACAAUUUGCUGAAUUUUGCCAGAAUUAAUUGUGUUACUUGUAACAAUAAUCACAUUCAUACUUUCCCAUAUUUUGGAAUAUUUUCUAAUGAUAGAUUUGCAAGCAUUGGGAUUACUAAGGCAACAUUCUUGACAGUUUUUCUAGACUUUGAUAUAAAUACCUAUCUAUGUGAUUCCAGAGGCCAAACUAAAUAAAAAAAAAUAUUCUUUAUACUUGCAGGAGAUGACAAAAGUAAAGUAAUUGCUUUCUUUACAGGGAAGUAUUUUAGAGAAGGAAAAGGGAAUAACUUUUUUCCAUAUGACCUUCUGUGAUAAUGUGUGGCUAUUGCUGUAAUUGUGCUAAUGAGAUAAUUAUGCCUAGGUCCUUUAGUAAAGGCAACAUACCAACAUUAAACUUUAGGCAUACAAUAGCUUUAUACCAAAGACACAGCUUGGUAUGUGUAUAGUAUGUAGUUUGACUGUGUUGUGACAGGAGGGAAGGGGUCUGAAAAGGGAAGGCUAGAGUGAAAAAGACACGUGGAGAAAAGAGAUAUAAUAAAAAAGUGCAGGGCAUUGGUAUAUUAACUGGUUCACCUCCUAGUGAAUCAGAAAGCAAGGCUUUGGUUGUAAGGAUGACUAAUGUUAACGAUUCUUUGCCUAUUGUUUACAAUCUAACUUGUAGUUCCUUUUAUAAAUGAAAAAAAAAUUCUGUGAUUGUAUAUUCAAUUACUCUGCUUUGGAGGUCCAGUACCAAAAGUGAACACAGUUGUGGGUUUUAAUAAACAUUUGUUUAGAAUCCAUCCCAUUCCUGGCCGGGUGCGGUGGUUUAAUUUACUUAUUAAAAAUUUAGCAAAUGAAGUCUGUGUUAAAUGAAAAACAGGUUUGUGACUUUCCAUGAAGGUCAGGGCAACCACAUUUUGAAAUCAUUAGCAAUGCUACUUGGUUCAGAGAGUUAGUUUACCGCAUAUUUUUAAGGCAAAACUCUUUAAUCUACUUGGGAAAAAAAAGACAUUUUUUUCCCUGAGAUUCAUAUUUCUUUCCUGCACAGAUUUAGCCACGGAAUUGACACAUUAAAAUUUUCAAAGGAUAAUAAAAACAUGACACUUGAAAGUUUUCAAAACUUGGCUUAUUUACAAAUUUUUCAGUAUUUUAUUAUACGUUAUUUCUGUUCUAUUAAAUCUGAAAACAAAGAAUCUUCACUGUUUAUUCAAGUAAUAUUCACUCAUUCAAAUUAGACACAUUUUUAAUUUUUUUAAUUUUUUUUUUUUUUUUUUUUUGAGACAGAGUCUCACUCUGUCACCCAGGCUGGAGUGCAGUGUCAUGAU